GGGGGUUUGCCCGAGUGGUUAAAGGGGGCGGACUGUAAAUCCGCUGGCUACGCCUACAUUGGUUCGAAUCCAAUAGCCCCCACUA
RNAcentral lists this transfer RNA (85 nucleotides) under Rhodopirellula sp. TMED11. RNAcentral's name for it is "tRNA-Tyr". It matches the Rfam family "tRNA". From Rfam's summary of the family: Transfer RNA (tRNA) molecules are approximately 80 nucleotides in length. Their secondary structure includes four short double-helical elements and three loops (D, anti-codon, and T loops). The record is from RNAcentral. Lineage: Bacteria; Pseudomonadati; Planctomycetota; Planctomycetia; Pirellulales; Pirellulaceae.